CGUAGGAGGCAAGCGUUAUCCGGAUUCACUGGGCGUAAAGCGCGUGCAGGUGGCGCGGUAAGUUGGGCGUGAAAUCUCCCGGCUCAACUGGGAGAGGUCGUCCAAUACUACCGUGCUUGAGAGCAGAAGAGGAAGAUGGAAUUCCCGGUGUAGUGGUGAAAUGCGUAGAUAUCGGGAGGAACACCAGUGGCGAAGGCGAUCUUCUGGUCUGUUUCUGACACUCAGACGCGACAGCUAGGGUAGUAAACGGGAUUAGGGACCCCGGUAAUCCUAGCCGUAAACGAUGUGAACUUGGCGUUGGUGGGUCAAACUCCAUCAGUGCCGUAGCAAACGCGAUAAGUUCACCGCCUGGGGACUACGGCCGCAAGGUUA
RNAcentral lists this ribosomal RNA (372 nucleotides) under uncultured organism. RNAcentral describes it as "bacterial SSU rRNA". It matches the Rfam family "Bacterial small subunit ribosomal RNA", at positions 526 to 896 of the family's 1533-position model. The record is from RNAcentral.